CUCAGUUCGGAUUGCAGCCUGCAACUCGGCUGCAUGAAGCCGGAAUCGCUAGUAAUCGCGGAUCAGAACGCCGCGGUGAAUACGUUCCCGGGUCUUGUACACACCGCCCGUCACACCAUGGGAGUUGGGAAUGCCCGAAGUCGGUGACCGAACCGAAAGGAAGGAGCCGCCGAAGGCAGGUCUGGUGACUGGGGUGAAGUCGUAACAAGGUAAC
RNAcentral lists this ribosomal RNA (214 nucleotides) under uncultured bacterium. RNAcentral describes it as "partial 16S ribosomal RNA". It matches the Rfam family "Bacterial small subunit ribosomal RNA", at positions 1287 to 1500 of the family's 1533-position model. The record is from RNAcentral.